Molecule: unclassified non-coding RNA, 352 nt
Filed under: uncultured Earliella
Lineage: Eukaryota; Fungi; Basidiomycota; Agaricomycetes; Polyporales; Polyporaceae
Description: sequence contains ITS1
Rfam family: 5.8S ribosomal RNA (bases 1-105)
Source: RNAcentral
GAAAUGCGAUAAGUAAUGUGAAUUGCAGAAUUCAGUGAAUCAUCGAAUCUUUGAACGCACCUUGCGCUCCUUGGUAUUCCGAGGAGCAUGCCUGUUUGAGUGUCAUGAAAUUCUCAACCUACAAAUCUUUGCGGGUUUGUAGGCUUGGACUUGGAGGUUUUUGUUGGCUUCUCGCAAGUCGGCUCCUCUUAAAUGCAUUAGCCUGUUUCCUUGCGGAUCGGCUCUCGGUGUGAUAAUUAUCUGCGCCGCGACCGUGAAGCGUUUGGCUGGCUUCUAAUUGUCUCGCUCAAGAGACAGCUUAUUUAUUAUGACCUCUGACCUCAAAUCAGGUAGGACUACCCGCUGAACUUAA